GUGAAUCAUCAAAUUUUGAACGCAAAUUGCACUUUCUGGUAUUCCGGAAAGUAUGCCUGUUUGAGGGUCAGUUAAAUAAAAUCGGUGGUGUUGCUGCCUUUCGUGGUUACGCGUCGGAAUUGGGUCGUCUUACCUUCGGGUAAGGGACUUAAAAAUUUUGCAUGAUUUUUGAACGUAUUUAAAUUGCUUAAGUAAGUUUUAAAUU
RNAcentral lists this unclassified non-coding RNA (205 nucleotides) under Glomeraceae sp. RNAcentral describes it as "partial contains 5.8S ribosomal RNA and internal transcribed spacer 2". The stretch from base 1 to 70 matches the Rfam family "5.8S ribosomal RNA", at positions 84 to 154 of the family's 154-position model. Lineage: Eukaryota; Fungi; Glomeromycota; Glomeromycetes; Glomerales; Glomeraceae. The record is from RNAcentral.